UGGACCUGCUGGAGCAAGUCCCGAGGAAGCCAUGAAGAUGCAUGCGAGGGCUGGAGCACCUCUCCUAUGAGACAGGCUGAGAGAGUUGGGCUUGUUCAGCCUGGAGAAGAGAAGGCUCUGGGGAGACCUUAGAGCAGCUCCCAGUGUCUAAAGGGGCCUGCAAGAAAUCCAGAGAGCAGCUUUUGACAAGGGCGUGCAGGGAUAGGACAAGGGGGACUGGCUUUAAACUGAAAGGGGGGAGAUUUAGAUUAGAUCUUAGG
Molecule: long non-coding RNA, 260 nt
Organism: Strigops habroptila (Kakapo)
Lineage: Eukaryota; Metazoa; Chordata; Aves; Psittaciformes; Psittacidae
Exons: 3
Source: RefSeq, a predicted model, not a curated record